GUGAGUAUAGCUCAGUGGUAGAGCGUGUGCUUAGCAUGCACGAAGUCCUGGGUUCGAUCCCCAGUUCCUCUA
This 72-nucleotide transfer RNA is filed under the name Camelus bactrianus (Bactrian camel). It matches the Rfam family "tRNA". Rfam says of the family: Transfer RNA (tRNA) molecules are approximately 80 nucleotides in length. Their secondary structure includes four short double-helical elements and three loops (D, anti-codon, and T loops). The record is from Rfam by way of RNAcentral. Lineage: Eukaryota; Metazoa; Chordata; Mammalia; Artiodactyla; Camelidae. RNAcentral also lists the same sequence under 2 other names.